Long non-coding RNA from Seriola aureovittata, 873 nucleotides. RefSeq lists it as uncharacterized. The transcript is spliced from 2 exons. The record is from RefSeq and is a predicted model, not a curated record. Lineage: Eukaryota; Metazoa; Chordata; Actinopteri; Carangiformes; Carangidae.
UGCGCCUCUAACGUCGUUGUAAGCUGCGCCAAAAAUCCACGAAGAAGAAGCAGUCAGAGGGUGGAGAAGCAUUUUGACAUGGCAGACAGUCCAAGGUCCAAGCUGCUGUGUCACAACCCGGUUCUUGUCGAUCUUGGAGUCUCCUCAUCAUCAGACUGCCCCUGAUCUUCUCUUCCACUGCAGCCGACAACUUUGCUUUCACUGUGGGUUGAGGUAGUAGGUUGUAUAGUUUUAGGGUCACACCCGCACUGGGAGAUAACUAUUCAACCUACUGUCUUUCUCAAAGUGCCAAGCACACGUCUCAGUCGUCCCUAUAUGGAUCCUGAAGGGCCACCAUUCUGACAGCAGUGUUUUAAUGGAUCUCGAUGUGUUAUUCCAGCUGCUCACACAGUGUGAGGUAGUAGAUUGUAUAGUUGUAGGGUAGUGAUUUUGCCCUGUUUGGAAGAUAACUAUACAAUCUAUUGCCUUCCCUGAGGAGUGGCAUCUCUUCUGUUUUUAUUCCUGCAUUCAUUUUCAAACUAUUUUUCCUCUGUAAGGCAUCCUCACUAAAAACUGCUGUGUUUCCCGAUUUAUCUAAUGAAAUGUUUGGGAACAUUUUACUUACUAAUUUCUUGCUCAGAGAAUUGGUUCUGAGCAGAGGUAAUUGCUCAGCUACAGUAUAUCCAUAAUCAUACAUUAGAUUUGUUUUUAAAAUGUUCUUUUUAUAUUUUAGUUUCACAUAAGUUGUGAUUAUAGAAUAUGAUGAAUACAUGGAAUUUGCUAUGAUAUCAUGUGUUUGUGAAAAUAUUUUCCCUCACAUUUGGUCAGUGUAAAUUUGAACUUACUCCUUUUCUAUUUUCUUGAGCUUUAUAAUAAAAUAUGAUACGGAAAACA